GCAGCAACGCAACUCAAGAUAUUGCAGCAGUUGAUAAUGGCUUCCCUGGAACUACAUGUCAACCGGCGAUGAACGCAACCAGUACUGCACGACCUGUGCUUUACACUUCGUGCCAAGAAGCAAUCCAGGGACGAAUUGCGGAGCUCGAACGUCUACAGGAAGCUACCGCGAGGAAACUGGCGCUCGCUAGGAAGAGGUAUCUUAAAAGCGAAGAAGAAAAGGAAGAAAUCAAGAAAAGGCUCAAAGGACUUUUUAAUGAUGACCAAAUGAGGUCGAUGGAACGAUUGUCCGCGCAGGGAGCGCGAUGGGAAGCAGGCACACUCGUCAAAUCGCUGCAGCUGCGCCUGGCGUGCGGUUCCCGAGGAUACGGACUCCUGAGGGAGUUCGGAUAUCCACUCCCGUCGGACCGUACGCUUCAGCGCCACAUUCAGCACGUCAAGUUUCGACCUGGAUUACUGAGAGAUAUACUGGAGCCUCUAAGGGCGAAGGUAUGGCUUGGGUAAAACGCUUGCAUCACCAAAUUUUCUGUGUCAGCAAAUAGUAGCAAACACAAAUACUGGAU
Rhipicephalus microplus (southern cattle tick) is the source of this 562-nucleotide long non-coding RNA. Lineage: Eukaryota; Metazoa; Arthropoda; Arachnida; Ixodida; Ixodidae. The record is from RefSeq and is a predicted model, not a curated record.